UACGGAGGGGGCUAGCGUUGUUCGGAGUUACUGGGCGUAAAGCGCACGUAGGCGGCUUCGCAAGUCGGAUGUGAAAUCCCUCGGCUCAACCGAGGACGUGCAUCCGAAACUGCGGAGCUUGAGUACUGAAGAGGAUCGCGGAAUUCCCGGUGUAGAGGUGAAAUUCGUAGAUAUCGGGAGGAACACCAGUGGCGAAGGCGGCGAUCUGGGCAGUUACUGACGCUGAGGUGCGAAAGCGUGGGGAGCAAACAGG
This 253-nucleotide ribosomal RNA is filed under the name uncultured bacterium. RNAcentral's name for it is "partial 16S ribosomal RNA". It matches the Rfam family "Bacterial small subunit ribosomal RNA", at positions 524 to 776 of the family's 1533-position model. The record is from RNAcentral.